AUUGAACUCAUUGUCACAGGAAUGAUCCUGGGAAUAAAAUAUUGUCUUGAAGAAUCUCCUACACUCCAUGUUCCUACAUCUUCUCUACCCAUGCCAAGCCCCUGUCUAACUUUCUCCAUUCAGAGCAUGUAACCACUAGUGAAACAGAGAGAAGUCUCUACUUUAGAGUGAUGUAGUACAUACAGGUUUCCACUGUGUUACCGGAGACAUACCUCAUAAGGGCACUCUCGAAUCUGGACAAUGUAAGGAAAGGUGUUCAUCAUGUAGACCACCGUAUUUCUCAGUGACAUCAUCAUUAGGAACUCCAUGAAAACUCUCUUAUAACCUGGUGAGCCCUACCUCCUUAUGUUGUCAUGACUGCAACUGCCUCUCAGAUUUUCCUUCAAUACCUCUAAGAGCAGGCAACCACUAAUGAAGCACAGAGAACUCUCUAAUUUUAGAGUGAUGUAAUAAGUAAAGGUUUCCACAGCAUCACAGGAGCGUAAUCUGGAAAGAGCACCGCCAAAUCUGGUCAAUGUAAAGACAGCUCUCCAGCAGAUCCAAACGAUGUAACUCAUAAAACCAUCUUGGAACUUUAUUUGCAAAAAGAAAAUCACCGAAUAGAAACAAGUGAUGGGCUAGAGAGACAAGCCAGUCCUAAAGAGCAAUGGCUGCUCUUGCAGAGGACCCGAGUUCCAUUCCCAACAACCACGUGGCAGAUGACAACCAUCCAUGAGUCCAGUUCGAAUGGAUCAGACAUCCUUUUCUGAUCUCUAAGCAUAUCAUAUUCAUAUAGCACACACACAAAGGUGCAAGUACAUAUAAAAUAACAAAAUAAAUCAAAAAGAAAAUUUAAAUAAAAACAAGU
Non-coding RNA from Rattus norvegicus (Norway rat), 847 nucleotides. Lineage: Eukaryota; Metazoa; Chordata; Mammalia; Rodentia; Muridae. The record is from RefSeq and is a predicted model, not a curated record.